Papaver somniferum (opium poppy) is the source of this 1040-nucleotide long non-coding RNA. RefSeq lists it as uncharacterized. The record is from RefSeq and is a predicted model, not a curated record. The transcript has 3 exons. Lineage: Eukaryota; Viridiplantae; Streptophyta; Magnoliopsida; Ranunculales; Papaveraceae.
UACAAAGUACUUAUGGGACAUUGUUCAUUGUUUCUCUUGUGAAAAUUAAGUUUUUCUACGUUAGAGUGAAGGUUGAAACAUUGUUCUCAUAUGGACUUUAACCCCUUUAGACAUACCAUGAAACUUCUUGCGAAAGUACUGAGCCAUGAUAUGGGUAGUUGGAGUGAGCAUUGUGUCAGUUUCCAGCUGUAUUAUUGUUUUCUUUUCUUAUUAGUUGGAGCAACAACAGGUGUUGCUGAAUUGAUUUUCUCACUCACAUUAUCAGGUUCAGUCUAAGUGAAUCCUCGAUCAUGGAUUGAUUCUGUACUAUCUAGAUAUAUAGCAGUUGAAUAUGUUGUUUGAUUGCGGAGAGAUUGCUGUUCCACUGGUUGUAGCUUUUUGUUCAGGUUCUUAUUGAAAAUCCCUUUUCCCUGAUGAUUGCAUGAUGGUUUUUACAUCUGCUUCCUUGGAACCUAUUAAGCACGUAAACACCUAGGGUUAAUGAUUCUACUCAGGAACCUUUUUUGUGUGCCUGAAGUAGACAUAAGAUUACCAUCUGCUGAUGUUUCAGCCUUAACAACGAUUGAUAUUCACUAGUAUGUUGGCUGCUAUUAAAAUGGAAGUCAUGAUGCCAUCAACAGAAGGAUUGCAUAGCUAUUGAGUUUCAUAUACCUCCGGUUUGUUCGUCAAUUGGUAGGCCUGGUCGGCCUGCUGAGCAAGCACCUGCUAUUGCUAAACAACUAUCUGAUGACUGAUGUUAUUUUAAGAUAAGUCCUUUUCGGACAGGUUUUUGGAACCAUAUGAACAAGAAGCUCCUGAAUUGAUGAAGGUAUUCGAAGAUCAGUUGAACAUCCGAUCCGAGAGCUGCUUCUGACAUGAAGGGUUUGAGGGGUCCAUAACUCAUUGCAAGUAUGUUGUAGUCUUUGUUUUUUUGUAUAGUUGGUGCCUCUCUUUAACGUUUUAGUCAUAUGCUUAUUUAUGUUUGUGUUGGUUUCGAAAUGAAAAUUGUUUUAUCUUUGAUGUACAUGAAGAAUUUAUGUCUUAUUAGUUGUUGUAUACCA